UGCGCAGGCGGACUCGUAAGUCAGAGGUGAAAUCCUGCAGCUUAACUGUAGAACUGCCAUUGAUACUGUUAGUCUUGAGUACGGUCAAGGUAGGCGGAAUGUGUAAUGUAGCGGUGAAAUGCUUAGAUAUUACACAGAACACCGAUUGCGAAGGCAGCUUACUGGACCAUUACUGACGCUGAGGCACGAAAGCGUGGGGAGCGAACAGGAUUAGAUACCCUGGUAGUCC
Molecule: ribosomal RNA, 229 nt
Filed under: uncultured bacterium
Lineage: Bacteria
Description: partial 16S ribosomal RNA
Rfam family: Bacterial small subunit ribosomal RNA
Source: RNAcentral